Daphnia carinata is the source of this 1708-nucleotide long non-coding RNA. RefSeq lists it as uncharacterized. The transcript has 4 exons. NCBI's taxonomy places the organism in Eukaryota, Metazoa, Arthropoda, Branchiopoda, Diplostraca, Daphniidae. The record is from RefSeq and is a predicted model, not a curated record.
UCGCCGUUCUUCAUCGACAGUUUCUUCAGGAAUAGCAUCCAUUGUUGGAAUGAACCGUCGUUUACUGACUCGUGCGGACGCCUUGAAAACGAGCGAAUGGCGAUGGAGUUCAUCUUGAAGGAUGGAUUUCUCAAGAAAUUCAAACUCUCGCUGCUCCUCUUUCUUGGGGUCUCGCACAAGGACAGGAAGGGUCCAACAUUAUGACGAUCUUUUGCGACUGGACAAGAAGCCCGUCGUCAGACGUGAUGUCAAUCCAAUCCUUCGGAAUCAACGGGAAAUCAUCCAACGAAGCUGCGGGACGGCAAUCGGGAACGAGUUGCUCGUGAUCACCACAUGUUUCCCCAAUUCGGGCAACACGACACUUUUCAGCGUCUUUUUGUGGGACAUUUUUGGUUGCACGUAAACCCAACUGCUGCCUCGCAACCUCGGACAAACGAUUCACGCUCACCGGAAUACGAGACAAGAAGGAUCGCUGUUGGUGACAGGCCAAAUUGGGAAGAGGAUCAGCAAGGCUCUCCUGUUUAAAUGGCGCCGCGUGAUUUCUGACUGGAAUUCGCGAAUGGAAUCCAAAUUGGCCUGCAACUGCGUUGCUAAUGGUCGCUACAGAAGAUAACGCGGACUGGAUCUUGACCGGCUUGGCGACAACGACGUGACUGCGCACACGAGUUUGCACAUGAAGAAACUGCCGUUUCUUGCCAGGAAGAGGCUUUGGUGGUGUAAACACGGGCAUUUUCACUCAAUUGAUGAACAGAUGGAUAACAAACAAAAUGAAGUUUGGUGGUGAAAUGCACUGAAAUAAGCUUGCAAAAUCACUUGAAAAAUCUCUCUUUGAAUCGUUCUGUAAAUCUCAGAUAAAUCUGGAUAAUACUUACUGGAAAAGUGAGUGAUUCCACGGUUGAUUUGCGUGGGGGUUAUCAUUUUCCUCCUUCGGACCAACACGACCAUUGCCAUGGAAACUCAGUAGCUGAAGCUUCUUACUAUGUAAUCAACCAAGGAUUCUCCAUCAGCAUUGGAAAUGUUAAUCUGGCAAAACACUGCAAAAUGCAAAGCAGAUACCUUAAGACAAUGUUUAAUCCAAGUGCAAUAAAUUCAUUCCUAUUCACACCAUAAGACAGCUGCCUUGUCCCGUUAUGAAGAAGAAUCAUUCAAGUAAAAAAUACUAAAAGGAGGUAACAAUUUUAUGUUUUGUCAAUUAAUUUCUUUAAAUGCUGAUGUGUAUCUAAAACUGGCUGGGAGUUUGUGACUAGGCUGUGGAGGUUUGCAAAAAGAGCUGAUAAGUUGUAUCCAAAAGAGGGCUCAAACGAUUUUACAAAAAUGUAUCCCAAAUGGUUGCUUGUGUCAGCCAGCAAACUUUGAUUGGCAAACAAGCCCAUUUCAGUUUUGAAGAUGACAGUUUGCCCCAGUUUAAAUGACAUCCCAAAAUUUUGGCUGCCAAAGAAUUUUUUUGUAGCAGCUUUAUUGUAGACUAUUCCUUUAUAUCACCUGGAGCUGGAAAUAAUUCAAAGUGAAGAAAUUUAUUGCAACAUGUUUACAUUAUUACAAUAAUCAUACUAUUUCACAGAGGUUAUAUUUGAUUGCAAAUCGUGUGGUAAAGUAUUUCAAUUAACUGAAAACUACCUAACCAAUUUAAAUUCUAGGUAAUCAAUAAACCUCAACGAAUAAGUGCCGAUUUUUUCCGCUCCUCAGAAGUGUAAAGAAUCUACUUUGA